RNAcentral lists this ribosomal RNA (518 nucleotides) under Brevibacillus sp. RNAcentral describes it as "bacterial SSU rRNA". It matches the Rfam family "Bacterial small subunit ribosomal RNA", at positions 34 to 546 of the family's 1533-position model. Lineage: Bacteria; Bacillati; Bacillota; Bacilli; Caryophanales; Paenibacillaceae. The record is from RNAcentral.
CUGCAGGGCGGCUGCUAAUACAUGCAGUCGAGCGAGUCUCUUCGGAGGCUAGCGGCGGACGGGUGAGUAACACGUAGGCAACCUGCCUCUCAGACUGGGAUAACAUAGGGAAACUUAUGCUAAUACCGGAUAGGUUUUUGGAUCGCAUGAUCCGAAAAGAAAAGGCGGCUUUAACCUGUCACUGGGAAAUGGGCCUGCGGCGCAUUACCUAGUUGGGGGGGUAAUGGCCUACCAAGGCAACAAUGCGUACCCAACCUGAAAGGGUGACCGGCCACCCGGGGACUGAAACCCGGCCCAAACUCCUACGGGAGGCACCAUUAGGGAAUUUUCCACAAGGGACAAAAGUCUGAUGGACCACCCCCCCGUGAACAAUAAAGGUCUUCGAAUUGUAAAGUUCUGUUGUUAGGGACAAACAAGUACCGUUCGAAUAGGGCGGUCCCUUGCCGUUACCUGACAAGAAGCACACGGUAAACUAUGUCCCAGUGCCCGCGGUAAAACUUAGGUGGAAGCCGUUGUCC